RNAcentral lists this ribosomal RNA (104 nucleotides) under Lepisosteus oculatus (spotted gar). The record is from RNAcentral. Lineage: Eukaryota; Metazoa; Chordata; Actinopteri; Semionotiformes; Lepisosteidae.
UCCAGCAGCCAUCACACUGCCAACUCAUUGAAGCUAAGCAGGUGUGAGCCUGGUCAGUACCUGGAUGAGAGACCUCCUGGGAAAAACUAAGGUUGCUGCUGGAA